Molecule: ribosomal RNA, 504 nt
Filed under: uncultured bacterium
Lineage: Bacteria
Description: partial 16S ribosomal RNA
Rfam family: Bacterial small subunit ribosomal RNA
Source: RNAcentral
GACGAACGCUGGCGGCGUGCUUAACACAUGCAAGUCGAACGGUGAAGCGCUUGCCUUUUUGGUGGGUGUGGAUGAGUGGCGAACGGGUGAGUAACACGUGAGUAACCUGCCCUCUUCUUCUGGAUAACCUCAUGAAAGUGGGGCUAAUACGGGGUAUUCCGGGUCUGUCGCAUGGCGGGUUUGGGAAAGAUUGCGCCUUUGGGUGUUUUCGGUGGGGGAUGGGCUCGCGGCCUAUCAGCUUGUUGGUGGGGUGAUGGCCUACCAAGGCGGUGACGGGUAGCCGGCCUGAGAGGGUGGACGGCCACACUGGGACUGAGACACGGCCCAGACUCCUGCGGGAGGCAGCAGUGGGGAAUAUUGCACAAUGGGCGCAAGCCUGAUGCAGCGACGCCGCGUGAGGGAUGGAGGCCUUCGGGUGGUGAACCUCUUUCGCCAGUGAAGCAGGCCUGCUCCUGUGUGGGUGGGUUGACGGUAGCUGGAGAAGAAGCGCCGGCUAACUACGUG